This 331-nucleotide ribosomal RNA is filed under the name uncultured Spirochaetota bacterium. Its description in RNAcentral is "bacterial SSU rRNA". It matches the Rfam family "Bacterial small subunit ribosomal RNA", at positions 28 to 351 of the family's 1533-position model. The record is from RNAcentral. Lineage: Bacteria; Pseudomonadati; Spirochaetota.
AACGAACGCUGGCGGCGCGUAUUAAGCAUGCAAGUCGAACGGGAACCGACCCCGCAAGGGGUUGGGGAGAGUGGCGAACGGGUGAGUAACACGUAGGUGAUCUGUCCCUGGGUGGGGUAUAGCCCAUGGAAACAUGGGGUAAUACCGCAUGAGGUCCUGGCGGUGAGAACUCCGGGAUGAAAGGCGCAAUUGUGUUGCCUGGGGAUGAGCCUGCGGCUCAUUAGCUAGUUGGUGAGGUAAAGGCCCACCAAGGCGACGAUGGGUAGCCGGCCUGAGAGGGUGUACGGCCACACUGGGACUGAGACACGGCCCAGACUCCUACGGGAGGCUG